This 164-nucleotide ribosomal RNA is filed under the name uncultured bacterium. RNAcentral's name for it is "partial 16S rRNA". It matches the Rfam family "Bacterial small subunit ribosomal RNA", at positions 355 to 511 of the family's 1533-position model. The record is from RNAcentral.
UAGGGAAUCUUCGGCAAUGGGGGCAACCCUGACCGAGCAACGCCGCGUGAGUGAAGAAGGUUUUCGGCUCGUAAAACACUGUUGUAAGAGAAGAAUGACAUUGAGAGUAACUGUUCAAUGUGUGACGGUAUCUUACCAGAAAGGAACGGCUAAAUACGUGCCAG